Molecule: non-coding RNA, 53 nt
Filed under: Thalassiosira minuscula
Lineage: Eukaryota; Bacillariophyta; Thalassiosirophyceae; Thalassiosirales; Thalassiosiraceae
Source: RNAcentral
AAAAAAAAGAAAGAAAAAAGAAAUAAAGAAAAAGAAAAGUAGAGUCCUCUUUU